CAGCUACCAUGCAAGUCGAGCGGCAUGCACGGGACGUCUUGCUCCUGGAUUCAGCUGGCGGACGGGUGAGUAAUGCCUAGGAAUCUGCCUGGUAGUGGGGGAUAACUUCCGGAAACGGGCGCUAAUACCGCAUACGUCCUGAGGGAGAAAGUGGGGGAUCUUCGGACCUCACACUAUCAGAUGAGCCUAUGUCGGAUUAGCUAGUUGGUGGGGUAAAGGCCUACCAAGGCGACGAUCCGUAACUGGUCUGAGAGGAUGAUCAGUCACACUGGAACUGAGACACGGCCCAGACUCCUACGGGAGGCAGCAGUGGGGAAUUUUGGACAAUGGGGGAAAGCCUGAUCCAGCCAUGCCGCGUGUGUGAAGAAGGUCUUCGGAUUGUAAAGCACUUUUGGUUGGAAGGAAGGGCAGUGGGUUAAUACCUUGCUGUUUUGACGUUACCUGCAGAAUAAGCACCGGCUAACUUCUUGCCAGCAGCCGCGGUAAUACGAAGGGUGCAAGCGUUAAUCGGAAAUACUGGGCGUAAAGCGCGCGCAGGUGGUUCAGAAAUUUGGAUGUGAAAUCCCCGGGCUCAACCUGGGAACUGCAUCCAAAACUACUGAGCUAGAGUGCGGUAGAGGGUGGUGGAAUUUCCUGUGUAGCGGUGA
This 647-nucleotide ribosomal RNA is filed under the name Pseudomonas aeruginosa. RNAcentral's name for it is "bacterial SSU rRNA". It matches the Rfam family "Bacterial small subunit ribosomal RNA", at positions 47 to 684 of the family's 1533-position model. Lineage: Bacteria; Pseudomonadati; Pseudomonadota; Gammaproteobacteria; Pseudomonadales; Pseudomonadaceae. The record is from RNAcentral.